GCAAAAUUUGGUGAAGCACAAAGGGCUGUACUGGGGAGUAAGAUGUAUUGUUCCAGUUGGCAUAAUAGCUCCAGUUAAUUUCUUCUACUCAUCAAAAAUCAGAAGUAGAUUCUAACAAUUUGUGCUGGCUUAUGCUGUCUCCUCAAUUCUAUUCUUCCUCAGCCUUUCUUCUCAAUAAGCUCCUUGCCCUCCUGUAUCCUCCUCUCAAUGCGUUUUCUUGUAGGACCCACCAUGAUGGAGUUGCUGGGCUGCAGAACAGCGGCGAAGCUGAGUGCGUGAGGGCUGCUCGGUCCCUGAGAAGUUGGAAGUGACUAGGAGACCAUCUAGUUCUGAAGAUUUCACCCCUCCUUCUAUAAAAGAGAACACCUAACUUGUCAGCAUCAGGUUGUUGGAUAAGAGGAAGCUGUGGAGAAUGAAAGGCCA
Molecule: long non-coding RNA, 423 nt
Filed under: Fukomys damarensis (Damara mole-rat)
Lineage: Eukaryota; Metazoa; Chordata; Mammalia; Rodentia; Bathyergidae
Description: lncRNA (ENSFDAG00000022470.1)
Source: RNAcentral